AUGGCUGGGGCAUGUUCCACAGGGGGGGAUGCACUGGGACAACCGAUCUCAGUGAUCAUGGGUAGGAGGAGGAGUUACGCUAAGACCAGACCAUGUCAUUACCGAGGAGGCAGGUUUAGUCGUUGUCUGAGGACUAUCCCUGCCUCCAGGUCUGGUCCUGACCGGAAGGAUACUGGAAUCAGCAAGGGAAACCCACAUGACCUGAAAGUGUUGCUGUGCAAUGCCAGGUCAAUGAUGAAUAAAACCACUGCCAUCCACGACCUGAUUGUGGAUGGAGGAUUUGACCUGGCAUGUGUGACAGAGACCUGGUUGGAUGAAGCAGAUGGGCCUGUCCUUGCCGCUGCUUGCCCACCAGGCUUCUCUUACGCACAGCAACCCAGGUCAUGUGGGCGGGCAGGGGGGGUUGCAGUGAUUUUUAGGAAGUCAUUAGUCUGCACCAGGCGUCCUAUUGGGAAGACCCAGUUCUCUGAGUGCAUGUUCUGGAAGUUGGGCAAUAGGGGCAGUACAGGAUUCCUACUGGUGUACCGACCUCCCCGCUGCACCAAGGAUUCCCUGCCCGAGCUGCUUCAGGUCGUGGCGGAUAUGCUCCUGGAGACACCUAGCUUGGUUGUCCUGGGGGAUUUUAACAUCCAUGCCGACACAACCUUACAAGGGGCCGCUCGGGACUUCGUGGAAAGCAUGGCCUCCAUGGGGCUGUCCCUGAAUAAGUUUGGCCCAACUCAUAGCCAUGGACAUGCCUUAGACUUGGUGUUCACCUCUAUGGAUGUUGGUGAUCUGACACUAACUAAAAGCGAAACAAAAGAAGUGCCAUGGUCAGAUCACUUCCUGGUGCAACUGGACUUCUCUGCAACCCUUCCCCUCUGCAGGGAGGUGGGACCGAUUCGGAUGGUCCGCCCCCGCCACUUAAUGGAUCCAAUUGGCUUCCAGAGAGUGGUAGGGGAUGCUUUAUCCCAAGUUGAUGGCCUUUCAGCUGAUUCCCUGGUGGCACGCUGGAAUGCGGAGUUAACCAAGGCUAUUGACUGUCUGGCUCCAAAGCGCCCUCUCCGAUUGCAUGGAGCCCGGACAGCCCCGUGGUUUUCCCCGGAGCUGAGGGUGAUGAAACAAUCGUUGAGACGGCUAGAGCGCCGGUGGCGGAAAACUCAUUCUGAAUCAGACCGGACACGGGUUAGAGCUCAACGUCGAGCCUACCAAGUGGCAAUGGCGACGGCGAAGAGGGACUUCUUCGCCGCCUCCAUUGCAUCUGCAGAAAACAGCAGCAGGAGACUUUUUCAGGUGGUUCGCAAUCUAUUGGAACCACCUGUACCACCGGGGCCUGGUAGGGACCCCAAGAUCUCCUGCAAUGCUUUUGCAAAGUUUUUUGCAGAUAAAAUCGCUCAGAUUCAGAAGGAGGUAGACUCCACCGUGGGAGCAGGGCCAGGGCAGGAGAGUGCUAGAGUUCUGUCUGGUCCUGUUACAUGGGAUCAAUUCCAGUCUGUUACCUCCGAGGAUGUGGACAGGCUGCUUGGAAAAGUGAAACCGACCACCUGUCUCCUUGAUCCUUGCCCAUCCUGGCUGAUAAAAGCGAGCCGGGAAGGGCUGGGCGAUGGGCUCUGCGGGGUGGUGAAUGCUUCCCUCUGUGAGGGAGCCUUCCCAGACCCGCUGAAAGAGGCGGUCAUUAAACCGCUUCUUAAAAAAACAUCUUUAGACCCGGCCAAUUUGGCCAACUAUCGCCCAGUCUUAAAUCUGCCAUUCUUGGGCAAGGUGAUUGAGCGGGUGGUUGCUGAACAACUCCAAGCACGCCUGGAGGAAACGGACCAUUUGGAUCCCUUCCAAUCGGGAUUCAGGUCUCACCAUGGGACUGAAACUGCCUUGGUCGCAUAG
Molecule: long non-coding RNA, 1860 nt
Organism: Podarcis muralis (Common wall lizard)
Lineage: Eukaryota; Metazoa; Chordata; Lepidosauria; Squamata; Lacertidae
Source: Ensembl